This is a long non-coding RNA of Ctenopharyngodon idella (grass carp), 202 nucleotides long. RefSeq lists it as uncharacterized. Lineage: Eukaryota; Metazoa; Chordata; Actinopteri; Cypriniformes; Xenocyprididae. The record is from RefSeq and is a predicted model, not a curated record. The transcript has 4 exons.
CAGAUGUUACUAACAUCAGCAGCACCGAUACAACAGUCAUACCAGAGACAACCUCAGCUGAGCCAGUCACUUCCACAACAUCUACUAGUUCUACUUCUACAGUUCCUUUACACAUGGUCACUUCCACAAUAUCUACCAGUCCCACUUCUACAGAUCCUUUACAGCCUGUCUCUUCUACAACACCUACUAGUUCUACAUCUAC